GGCCCUUUCCAGGUGCCCGGGGUCAGGGGCACAGAGCCCCCUGCGGAGAGCUCUCGCUUUCGCUUUUGCUGUGUUCCUUGGGGACCCCGGGUGUGGCAGACAGAAGCAUGGCGAGCGAGCGGUGGCGGCUUCCAGACUGAAGUGAUUCUAUUUUUUCACUUUUUUUUUAGUCCUAGAAAUUGAAACUUGUGAUCCUCUUGCCUCAGCCUCCCAGAGUGCUGAGACUGUGUGCCACCACCCCUGGCUUCUCAUGCACUUUAAAUUAAAAUAAAUUUUUAUCCUGCAGUUGUCCUGACUCUUGGUAUAGGAGAAGCUGUCGCAGUGCCAAGAAGGGGGUGCCGCGCCAGGACGUGUGGCACCCGGUCUGGCCCUGGGGACGCGAGCUAGACUGUUGCCUCUUCUGGGAAGCCUACUGGAUUGCAUGCAAGCUGUGGGGGAACGGAGACAUAGCCCACACCAGCAAUAAGACGCCGGACGAAACUUCUUAAAGAAGCGCCCCUUCCCCAGCGCAGGGCCGCCCUCGCCUCACCUGCGCCUGUCAGCAGGUGCAGCAUGAGGUCAAGGUCCCUUCGUGGUUACCGUGCUGUGACUCACGGGGCAGCCUGAGGGUCACCAAAGAUGACAUCGGGUCAGUCCAGGAAGGUGGCCCAAUGCAGCGUUAAUACCAGGAGCAGGUGACAGGGCUGACGGAGAGGUAGCACCGUGAGGCCACGUGUCACAUCUGCCCAGAAGAGGCCUUCGAAGGGAGCGGAGCCCGGGCGGGGCUGCCCGAGGAGCAGAGGCCGCCACGCUGGAAGCCGAGGGAACCCGACCGGGGCACCAAGCUGGGCGACAAAGGUUGAAGCCUUUCUAAAGACGUCGUUUUUCAGAAGAAAGUAAUCAAGGCGGCAGGAAGGAGAACGCAGCCUCGAGGUCACCUUCUGGUUCUGGUCCCCAUCAGUGCUGGGGCCUUGCCCUCAAGCUCAGGCAGAGGCUGGGGGUCUCCACGGUCCUAGCACUGGGGAGCUGGUGGGGGGGCCCUCAUUUUGGAGUCCGAUUUUGGCUUGGGGUGGCGGGCAGCUCCCGAGGGCUGGGAUUUCAGCUGCAGGGCGGCUCCUGUUUCUUCAGACCCAUGGGGAGGCCGGGAGACGGCUGUCACUACAGGAACUGCAGCGGCGCCCUUUCCAGGAGGGGUGCUGGGGCCCACGGGAAGCACACGUGCAACGCCUGCCACAUCAAAGUCCGUGUGCCAGCCUGGGUCCGUCCCUGCUGCAGGGAGCUCACCCUGACCAUGGGGCUGCGGUGACGGCAGCUGGGCAGGGACCCCUCUCCCGGGUCUGUUGCCCCUUGAGUUCCAGGUCGGCUCUGCAGAUACUGUCCCUGGGCGAUGACUCGGACGGGGAAAAGCCUGGCUUCUGGCGGCCCUGCACCCACCGUUGGAUGGCGCUGCCUGGGCGCAUGAGGACCGGGAGAGCACCGUGGCGCCACGUGAGCCCCGCCAGGACACCCGCACCCGGCGUCAGGGCUUCUCAGGCGAGGGCAGAGACCGCAGGGAAGGACAGAGCCGAGGACCGGAGCAGCGCCCCGGAGUGCAGCGAUAUCGGGCAGGCGGGUCUUUAAGGGGCGAAGGAGGUAAAGUGAGCCCCCAGGGCGGCCCUAGCCCCAUCUAGCCUUGCAAGAAGAGAUCGAGGCAGGACACACGGGGCGGCCAGGUGAGGACCCAGGGGAGGCCACCGCCCAGGAGCCCAGGAGCGAGGGGGCCGGGGGAGCCCGGCGGGCGGCCGGCUUUGGUCCUGGACAUCCAGCCUCCGCGAUCGGAGGGAGUGAGCGCUGGGGGCUAAGCCCGAGGAGAGGAGUGCACAGACUCACACACACACAGCUCACGCUCACGCCUGCACACACAGUCGCCGGUGCAUGCUCACGUGUUCAGACACAGGCACGCUCACACAUGCUUGUUCACACAGUCGCAAAUGCACACUCACGGGCGCAGGCACAUACACACAUGUGCACUCACACACGAUGCGUGUCUGCUCACACGUGUCCACGCUCACACACACACGCACACACACACCGGGGAACACAGGAGACUGAGAACCAGUGGGCGAGAACAGCUACCGUGCGAGACGGCUCGGGUGGCCGCAGGGUCCGCAGGGUGAGGUUCCUGACUCCCGCUCAGAUCUCCGACGCCGUACUUCAACGCGAGCGGCCGUGAGCGAGGGUCCCACCUCCCUGCAUCUGCGAACGGGAGGACGCUGACCUGUUGCUGUUGAAGAGGCCCUGGGCAUCAAUACUUGCAAAGAGCUCAAGCUAUUCCUGGAAAACAGCAUGGCAGUUGCGGUUCUGCCCCUCGCUGGAGGAGCCUGGGGACGUAAGACAGCCGCAGCUUCCUGGAGGGUGCAGAGCCGCGACCCCACCGCCGCUCUGGAGCAGAGAGCUCAGCCCGCCACUCUCCUGGACGCCACGGCAGACCCCAAGACAUUCACCUUGUGGGUUGUGUGGCCCUGCAACUCCCCACCUAGGAAUUAGCAGUCAGAAAUGUAUUAGAAACUAACAUUGAGAAUGUUUAGAAUUAUUUAUUAAUUCACUUAAAAUUAGCAAGAACAAACCUUAUAGAGAUAACAUAAAUAUUUUGUGACAGUUACGUUUUCCAAAACAAAAAUAAACUUCACUGAGGAAAGU
This is a long non-coding RNA of Chinchilla lanigera (long-tailed chinchilla), 2658 nucleotides long. The record is from Ensembl. Lineage: Eukaryota; Metazoa; Chordata; Mammalia; Rodentia; Chinchillidae.